UAUAUCCUUGUGGAACUCGAGUUACAGCUCUCGUGAGAUAUAGUUUGUGGGAAAGAGAAGAAACAGCAGUGCUGCAGAUUCAUUUCAUCUUGUUCAUCAUAGCUGGAGAAAACAGGUAUGGAAAGGGCCACUUUUAAUCAUCAUUACCUCAAUGGUGGAUAAAUCCAAAACCAGAACUUGAAAAUCUGUUACCAACGUGAUAGAACAAAUGCAUAUUUAAAAUGCUCUUCUCAGAAAGUCCUUAGAGAAACACAGCCAUUAUCAGGACUAUUCUUCAUGCCUUUAUUGCGACCUUCAUUUACAGAGAUGAAGCAAAUGGAAAACUGAAGAUCACAAGAAGGUUCCUGAAUUAUAACAAUGUCUUUUCUGUUGAAGUGGAAUCAUUCACUCGAAAGACUGUCUUCAGGAAAAAAGAUUCAAGCAGACUUAAAAAUACAUUAAACAAUGUUAAUGGCUUGAAAUUAAUGGCUAGACAGCAUUCACUCCAUUACAUUUUUAGGUUGGUAGCAUCAAGAGGAAUUCAUAAAAGUAGACAUAUAUAAUGAACUACAUUUUGCCUGUCAAAAAUAAAAUGUAUUUGCAUUAACAAGUCAAAGAUGAUUGACUGAUGUCACCAUCCAUGUGGAUUAGCCACAGUAAAAAGGACGAUUCAGUCACACCACAUCAACAGCUGGUUAACGCUACUUAAAAUCUGAUUUACCGUAUCGAAAAUCAAAAUAAUCCCUAUUGCAAUCAUUAGGUUUUGGCUUUCACGCAGGACAUUACAGAGCUAUAUUGAUACUUUCCACAUCAUUGUGCACCUAGAAACAAUGCACUAGCAUCAAGGGGACAAGAUACGUUGAGAGUUAAUUUUGACUUGCAGUCUAACUCUUCUUACCACUCUUCCUUGAUCCUUGCACUUUCUACCCUAUUUUUUUUGGGUUGAAUAUUCCCUUUCAACUGUCACUACAUUUUUCUCCAGUUAAAAUCUUCAAUUUGGUUUUGUAUUCUCACUUUUACUCCCAAUUUGUUUUCCACUUAAUUUGCUUGCUUUCUUCUCUUUGGUCCUGCUGUUUCCAACUUAUUUUCUGUACAAUUUGAUUGUCUGCAUCUCCUGCACCUUAAUGCAUCUUACCAGGAUUAUUGGAUCACAAAACCCUUGGCAUGGCAAAACUGCACAUUUACAAAGCACAAAUAAACUCGCAAAAUUAUUAUAAAUGGAGAACUUAAAAACAACAAAGGUCCUGCAUAUCGAAAUAAAGGCUGGGAUUGACAAAAGAGGGAAGGCUCAUGACAGGAGCAAGAAAUACGAAUCUUCUCAAGAAGAAUGAUAGUUUACAGGAGGAGAUGGAGCAAGUUGAGGAAAUCAGAAGAUUUCUCAGAUAGAAGUCUCUAAAAUAGUGUAUGCAAAGAUGGAUGGGGUGUGCAUGCAUAGGUGGGUGAUGAAUGUGCCUGUGGGGGCAUCAAGAGGGAGCACAGAACUCAACCAGAUAUUUUUAUUUUAUCGUGGAACCUGCUUUGUUCUAAAUGGGCAUUUUCUGCGGCAGAAGUUUGAGAUUGCCAGUAUUAUAUGCUUUUGAUUGCUGCUUUAGUGAAUGUGAAAUUUGCGCCACAUUUGGAAUCUUACACACGCAACCUUUCAGAAGCAAAAUCUUUUUCUACAGAUGUGCGUGUCAAGAAAGAAAUUACCAAAGUGAUAAAUUAGUUUUGUUACAUAUUUAUAUAACAAAAUAGGCUGACUUAGGUAUUUUGUUAUAAAAAUGACAUUGGAGUUAAAAUCUACCACACAAAAAUUAGGGAAUUAUUGAAGCCUGAACACACACCUAAUGAGAGACUACCAGGCAGGACUGAAGCAGAUCAUGUUUUCCUUGAGCGAGAAAAUGCCUAUCAAUAUGAUAGCAAAUCCAAUCACAGCUUAAUGAUUUAUAUCAAAUUACAGGUUUUUGCCCUGGCCUUUUGUUGAGUUAACCAAUCACAGCCUAUAGGGUGCUGCAGUUGUCCUCUGCAAGUCUUUGUUGAGGGGAAUGACAGCCAGGGCAGCUGCUCGCUAUCUCCUGGUAAGAAUCUGCUGUGUUGGGUGCAUGGUGUGGGCAAGGACUGGAUCCAGCUAUGACAACCUUAUUUAAAUAUUCAAGCAGCAACAAUAAUGAAUAUCUGGAAAAGUUCAGAAGGUACCUGGUGCAUCCGAACAAGUAAUUGCUUCAGGAAACAAGGAAAGAAAAUUAGAGAGGAAUAAAGUUUCCCUACUCUUCAUUAAGAAAAAGCUCUCAAUUACAUAUUACACCAUGGAGCCUUCACCUACAAUUCCCCAUAUGAGAAAUCUUUGAUAUUAGUGGGAGCAUUUAGGACUUGAUUUGAAACCCAGUUCAGACUAAUGAAAUGGAAGUUUUUUUCCCCCUACUGCUUAUGAAAAUCGUCCAUGAAAUAAGUACGACCAUCUCAACUAUAGAUCUACACCAUGUCUUUCCUAAUUUAGCAUUAAAUGGCAGUAUUAGUGAAAUGCAAAUGGCCAGGUAGCCCCAACCUCUGACUAGCUUCUAUCAGAAUUGCCUGCAUUACCAGGGUCCGCAAGGUCAUCAGAUUUCUGUGUGCGCGUCAUAAUAACACUUUUUUUUUGUCAGUAAACACUAUGAAGUACAUUUGUAUAAUGAUAUCCAUAUUGUUCACAGAUGACAUGCUUCUGGAAGCUAGGUUUGGGGCUGGUGAUCCUUGGUUGUGUCAUUAUUUCCAAGAGGUCAAUAGAAUGGAAAAUUUUAAAACCACAGGAAUAGAAAAAGAUUCACUUCCUAUAAACUUGUGGGGAGGGGCGGGGUGGUCAUUUGUAAAUGAGACACCAAAGUGCCGAGAAUGGGAUUGUUUCUUUCAUUAAUUUUAAACACCUCCCACGUUUGUGAACAAAAAAAAUUACAUGAAAUACAUUGAUCAAGACAAUAUUUUCCAAAAACACCCAACAUCCUGAAUAUUGCCAAUUAUGAAUAUAUUUAAAUUCUGAGCAUCCUCUUGCCCUCAGACUCUGUGGAUCUCGACUACAUUGGGGAGCCGGUUUAUAUAGUCUCUAAGUAUUAUGUGAAACAAACUUCAAUGAAAUUUCAAGCUGUCCCCCAU
Molecule: long non-coding RNA, 3084 nt
Organism: Pristis pectinata (smalltooth sawfish)
Lineage: Eukaryota; Metazoa; Chordata; Chondrichthyes; Rhinopristiformes; Pristidae
Exons: 3
Source: RefSeq, a predicted model, not a curated record